Halichondria panicea is the source of this 756-nucleotide long non-coding RNA. RefSeq lists it as uncharacterized. The transcript is spliced from 3 exons. Lineage: Eukaryota; Metazoa; Porifera; Demospongiae; Suberitida; Halichondriidae. The record is from RefSeq and is a predicted model, not a curated record.
CAUUAAGUAUUACGAAGCUGUAAAUACACCUGUGUCAGUACCAUGCAGUGUCACUGUUUGUACAUACUGGAGCUUACAAUAGUGAUAUGAUUAUAGUAUUAGUUGAGUAAAACUGCCUGUAGUGACUUCUUAUUUUGGUUUUAAAGAUCUAAAGCUACUGUAUAGAUCUAGUAUGAUGAACAAUAUAAACAGCAGACAGUGGAUGGUGUCGAUUGUAGUAAUGCUUGGACUUGUGUGCACACUAACUAAUGGGCAAUGCUUCAAUGGCCAGACAAGAAACUGCGGUUCGUUUUGUUGUCCUCCACUUGACUCUCAGUCACAUGAUUCUGAUGGAUUCCAGCGAACAGAGUGCUGUAAUGCCCUCUCAGAAAGAUCAGGAUGCUGUAGUAUUCAAGAGUUACAAACUACAACUUGUGUCAGUGGGUUGAGAUGCCCAGAUGGUUCAGGACGAGACGAUGUUGGUGAAAUACGAAAUCAAUGCUGCCUGAACUUUCGCUCCGGGUGCUGUAGUCGAGUGGAGAAUCGCGACUUCCAGUUCCUCUUUAAUCUCACCAUUGGACUAGCUGCUGCAGUCUUUAUUGUGCUACUGGCAACUGUCUUCCUAAUCAUCCUCUGUUGCUGCUGUGUAUGCAACUGACACAUGCAUGGACGUGCAAUAAAUAAACUAUAGUUAUCGUGGAAUUACAUAGUAUAGGAUAUUGAUUGUAAUAUUGACAAUGUGUAUACAAGUACAAUAACAGUCAUGACCUAACUGCA